CCUACGGGUGGCAGCAGUAGGGAAUAUUGCUCAAUGGGCGAAACCCUGAAGCAGCAACGCCGCGUGGAGGAUGAAGGUUUUCGGAUUGUAAACCCCUUUUGUUAGAGAAGAUAAUGACGGUAUCUAACGAAUAAGCACCGGCUAACUCCGGGCCAGCAGCCGCGGUAAUACGGAGGGUGCCAGCGUUACUCGGAAUCACUGGGCGUAAAGGGCGCGUAGGCGGGAUAGCAAGUCAGAUGUGAAAUGCUAUGGCUUAACCAUAGAACUGCAGUUGAAACUGUUAUUCUAGAGUAUGGGAGAGGUAGGUGGAAUUCGUGGUGUAGGGGUAAAAUCCGUAGAGAUCAAGAGGAAUACUGAUUGCGAAGGCGACAUGCUAGAACAUAACUGACGCUGAUGCGCGAAAGCGUGGGGAGCAAACAGGAUUAGAUACCCUAGUAGUC
This 440-nucleotide ribosomal RNA is filed under the name uncultured bacterium. RNAcentral's name for it is "partial 16S ribosomal RNA". It matches the Rfam family "Bacterial small subunit ribosomal RNA", at positions 338 to 795 of the family's 1533-position model. The record is from RNAcentral.